GAUCCUGGCUCAGGAUGAACGCUAGCGGCAGGCCUAAUACAUGCAAGUCGGACGGGAUUGGAGAGCUUGCUUUCCAUGAGAGUGGCGCACGGGUGCGUAACACGUAUGUAACCUACCCUUAUCAGGGGGAUAGCCUCUCGAAAGAGAGAUUAAGCCCGCAUAACAUCACGACAUAGCAUUAUGAUGUGAUCAAAUAUUUAUAGGAUGAGGAUGGGCAUGCGGAACAUUAGCUAGUUGGUAAGGUAAUGGCUUACCAAGGCUACGAUGUUUAGGGGAUCUGAGAGGAUGACCCCCCACACUGGUACUGAGACACGGACCAGACUCCUACGGGAGGCAGCAGUAAGGAAUAUUGGUCAAUGGGCGGAAGCCUGAACCAGCCAUGCCGCGUGCAGGAAGACGGCCCUACGGGUUGUAAACUGCUUUUGUACCGGAAUAAACCUCAUUAUGUAUAAUGAGUCUAAUGUACGGUAAAAUAAGGACGGCUAACCGUC
RNAcentral lists this ribosomal RNA (491 nucleotides) under uncultured bacterium. Its description in RNAcentral is "bacterial SSU rRNA". It matches the Rfam family "Bacterial small subunit ribosomal RNA", at positions 15 to 505 of the family's 1533-position model. The record is from RNAcentral.